GCGGAGGUCGCUCAAUGGUAGAGCGUCGGCUUCCCAAGCCGAUACCCGCGGGUCCGAUUCCCGUCCUCCGCUCCA
RNAcentral lists this transfer RNA (75 nucleotides) under Clostridia bacterium. RNAcentral describes it as "tRNA-Gly". It matches the Rfam family "tRNA". From Rfam's summary of the family: Transfer RNA (tRNA) molecules are approximately 80 nucleotides in length. Their secondary structure includes four short double-helical elements and three loops (D, anti-codon, and T loops). The record is from RNAcentral. Lineage: Bacteria; Bacillati; Bacillota; Clostridia.